This is a non-coding RNA of Ailuropoda melanoleuca (giant panda), 147 nucleotides long. The record is from Rfam. NCBI's taxonomy places the organism in Eukaryota, Metazoa, Chordata, Mammalia, Carnivora, Ursidae.
CGGCGGGGCUGGCUGCGCUGCUGGCGUUGGUCACCGGGACAGCUCCGGGACGCCCACCUUUCUACCAGCCGCGCCGUGAGGGCUUCCCGGCUUUGCCAUUCUUGACGAGGUCUCCGCUGUCGGGCUCUGGCCCCAGGUAAUGCUCAU